Molecule: ribosomal RNA, 220 nt
Rfam family: Bacterial small subunit ribosomal RNA
Source: Rfam
GAACUUGAGAGUUUGAUCCUGGCUCAGAGCGAACGCUGGCGGCAUGCUUAACACAUGCAAGUCGCACGGGCAGCAAUGUCAGUGGCGGACGGGUGAGUAACGCGUAGGAACAUGUCCAUGAGGUGGGGGACAACCCUGGGAAACUGGGGCUAAUACCGCAUAUCGGCUGAGGCCGAAAGCCUUCGGGCGCCUUUGGAGUGGCCUGCGUUCGAUUAGCUUG